RNAcentral lists this transfer RNA (74 nucleotides) under Humibacillus sp. DSM 29435. It matches the Rfam family "tRNA". From Rfam's summary of the family: Transfer RNA (tRNA) molecules are approximately 80 nucleotides in length. The record is from Rfam by way of RNAcentral. Lineage: Bacteria; Bacillati; Actinomycetota; Actinomycetes; Micrococcales; Intrasporangiaceae. RNAcentral also lists the same sequence under 3 other names.
CGGGGCAUGGCGCAGCUUGGUAGCGCGUCCGCUUUGGGAGCGGAAGGCCGCAGGUUCGAAUCCUGUUGCCCCGA